UCUAGGCUCCAGGAUACAGCAGGAUGGUUUUUAAACAACUGGCCCUCCCGGAGCAUACUUUAUUCCAGUAAGAGAGACAGAAAUACACAGAUAGGGUAAUGGCAGGCACUAAGACCGGCUAUGAAGAGAGAGAGGCUGGGAGGGCCCUCUGCAGAGGUGUAAACGGAGCAAGAGAAGGACUAUCCUGACAGAGGCAGCGAGGAGGCCGAGGUGCUGAGACAGGAUCCAAAGGACGUUCCGAGGACUGUAUGGAGGCCAGCAGGCUGGAGCCAGGAGAGAGUUGGAGUGAAGGGGUAGGGGAAAGGAGUUGCUGUUGCCAGGCUCCACCAGGAGGGAGAAAAAGGCUGCCACUGACCCUCACCUGUUCUCAUGCACACCCCUGAGAUGAGGAAACUGAGGCUCAGAGGAGUCUGACAACCUGUCCAAGUUUCUGCAGGCAAGUACAGCACAUAGCUGAGCCAGGAUAUCAUCCUGUGAUCGUUUCCAAGGUCACCUUUACCCCACGCCUCGCUGCAUUCAUCACCUAGAGCCUCUCUCCCUGGGAGCAGGGCCUGAACUCCCUGACCCUGAGCUACCCUGGAGUCAGGUCAAUCUCUAUGACUCCAAAUCACUCCAAAUUAAGUCAACAAAGUGUCCACUGAAAGGGACUGAAGCAACCGGUGCCACUGAAUGAGCCAGACUCCAGCAGCCCCUGCCACAGCCUCCUCCCCACAAGGACCCUACAACCAUGCCAUCCGGAGCCUGCAGUCCAGACACCCACCGCAGGAGCAGGGCCCAGACGGAAUCUGUACAGAAGCCUCUCCCGGAAACCCCACCCCAGCCCUCCCAGCCGAACACCCGCCCCUCACCUGGAGA
Long non-coding RNA from Cervus elaphus (red deer), 855 nucleotides. RefSeq lists it as uncharacterized. The record is from RefSeq and is a predicted model, not a curated record. Lineage: Eukaryota; Metazoa; Chordata; Mammalia; Artiodactyla; Cervidae. The transcript has 3 exons.